Molecule: unclassified non-coding RNA, 344 nt
Filed under: soil metagenome
Description: partial contains 5.8S ribosomal RNA, internal transcribed spacer 2, and large subunit ribosomal RNA
Rfam family: 5.8S ribosomal RNA (bases 1-121)
Source: RNAcentral
GAUGAAGAACGUAGCGAAAUGCGAUAAGUAAUGCGAAUUGCAGAAUUCCAGUGAGUCAUCGAAUCUUUGAACGCACAUUGCGCCCGCCAGCAUUCUGGCGGGCAUGCCUGUUCGAGCGUCAUUUCAACCCUCGAGCCCCCCCGGGGGCCUCGGUGUUGGGGGACGGCACACCAGCCGCCCCCGAAAUGCAGUGGCGACCCCGCCGCAGCCUCCCCUGCGUAGUAGCACACACCUCGCACCGGAGCGCGGAGGCGGUCACGCCGUAAAACGCCCAACUUUCUUAGAGUUGACCUCGGAACAGGUAGGAAUACCCGCUGAACUUAAGCAUAUCAAUAAGCGGAGGA